This 705-nucleotide ribosomal RNA is filed under the name uncultured soil bacterium. RNAcentral's name for it is "bacterial SSU rRNA". It matches the Rfam family "Bacterial small subunit ribosomal RNA", at positions 56 to 758 of the family's 1533-position model. The record is from RNAcentral.
UGCAAGUCGAACGGCAGCGCGGGGCAACCUGGCGGCGAGUGGCGAACGGGUGAGUAAUAUAUCGGAACGUACCCAAGAGUGGGGGAUAACGUAGCGAAAGUUACGCUAAUACCGCAUACGAUCUAUGGAUGAAAGCAGGGGACCGCAAGGCCUUGUGCUCCUGGAGCGGCCGAUAUCUGAUUAGCUAGUUGGUGGGGUAAAGGCCCACCAAGGCAUCGAUCAGUAGCUGGUCUGAGAGGACGACCAGCCACACUGGAACUGAGACACGGUCCAGACUCCUACGGGAGGCAGCAGUGGGGAAUUUUGGACAAUGGGCGCAAGCCUGAUCCAGCAAUGCCGCGUGAGUGAAGAAGGCCUUCGGGUUGUAAAGCUCUUUUGUCAGGGAAGAAACGGUGGCGGCUAAUAUCCGCCACUAAUGACGGUACCUGAAGAAUAAGCACCGGCUAACUACGUGCCAGCAGCCGCGGUAAUACGUAGGGUGCAAGCGUUAAUCGGAAUUACUGGGCGUAAAGCGUGCGCAGGCGGUUUUGUAAGUUUGUCGUGAAAUCCCCGGACUCAACCUGGGAAUGGCGAUGAAGACUGCAAGGCUAGAGUUUGGCAGAGGGGGGUAGAAUUCCACGUGUAGCAGUGAAAUGCGUAGAUAUGCGGAGGAACACCGAUGGCGAAGGCAAUCCCCUGGGCCUGCACUGACGCUCAUGCACGAAA